CCUAAUUAGUCCUGUAAGUCACUCUGGAUAAGAGUGUCUGCUAAAUUACUAACA
Non-coding RNA from Salmo salar (Atlantic salmon), 54 nucleotides. The record is from Rfam. Lineage: Eukaryota; Metazoa; Chordata; Actinopteri; Salmoniformes; Salmonidae.